AAUCUUCCGCAAUGGACGCAAGUCUGACGGAGCAACGCCGCGUGAGUGAUUAAGGUUUUCGGAUCGUAAAACUCUGUUGUUAGGGAAGAACAAGUACCGUUCGACUAGGUCGGUACCUUGACUGUUCUCUACCAGAAAGCCACUGCUAACUAUGUGCCCGCAGCCGCGGUAAUACGUAGGUGGCAAGCGUUAUCCGGAAUUAUUGGGCGUAAAGCGCGCGCAGGCGGUUUCUUAAGUCUGAUGUGAAAGCCCACGGCUCAACCGUGGAGGGUCAUUGGAAACUGGGGAACUUGAGUGCAGAAGAGGAGAGUGGAAUUCCAUGUGUAGCGGUGAAAUGCGUAGAGAUAUGGAGGAACACCAGUGGCGAAGGCGACUCUCUGGUCUGCAACUGACGCUGAGGCGCGAAAGCGUGGGGAGCAAACA
This 423-nucleotide ribosomal RNA is filed under the name uncultured bacterium. RNAcentral describes it as "partial 16S ribosomal RNA". It matches the Rfam family "Bacterial small subunit ribosomal RNA", at positions 360 to 774 of the family's 1533-position model. The record is from RNAcentral.